AACGAACGCUGGCGGCAUGCCUAACACAUGCAAGUCGAACGAGACCUUCGGGUCUAGUGGCGCACGGGUGCGUACCGCGUGGGAACCUGCCCUUAGGUUAGGAAUAACUCCCCGAAAGGGGUGCUAAUACCGGAUAAUGUCUUCGGACCAAAGAUUUAUCGCCUUUGGAUGGGCCCGCGUUGGAUUAGCUAGUUGGUAGGGUAAAAGCCUACCAAGGCGACGAUCCAUAGCUGGUCUGAGAGGAUGAUCAGCCAGACUGGGACUGAGACACGGCCCAGACUCCUACGGGAGGCAGCAGUGGGGAAUAUUGGACGAGGGGCGAAAGCCUGAUCCAGCAAUGCCGCGUGUGUGAUGAAGGCCUUAGGGUUGUAAAGCUCUUUUACCCGGGAUGAUAAUGACAGUACCGGGAGAAUAAGCACCGGCUAACUCCGUG
Molecule: ribosomal RNA, 433 nt
Filed under: uncultured bacterium
Lineage: Bacteria
Description: partial 16S ribosomal RNA
Rfam family: Bacterial small subunit ribosomal RNA
Source: RNAcentral